GAUUUCUUCGGGUGUUUUAGCGUACUGCUUAACAAUCCUCGCUUUCAAAGGAUUGAAUCCGGGCAGUUGUCGAGAGUUUUGGUUAGUUUGCGGUGCCACAUGAAGAUUGCCAGAAGGGAAGAAAACGACGAUCAAACACAAACAAUAUUAAACAAGCAGAGAUGAAAAAGAUACGCAGCAAUUAAAGGAAUACUAGGUAUACCUAAACGGAUUAGCGUUGAUGCACAGGAGGGUUCGUCAUGCAGAAUACCUACGCGGGGAUUUGGCAGUGAAUGUUAUACCGCCGUCUUCGCCU
Long non-coding RNA from Trichoplusia ni (cabbage looper), 295 nucleotides. RefSeq lists it as uncharacterized. Lineage: Eukaryota; Metazoa; Arthropoda; Insecta; Lepidoptera; Noctuidae. The transcript has 3 exons. The record is from RefSeq and is a predicted model, not a curated record.